Molecule: unclassified non-coding RNA, 359 nt
Filed under: uncultured fungus
Lineage: Eukaryota; Fungi
Description: partial contains 5.8S ribosomal RNA, internal transcribed spacer 2, and large subunit ribosomal RNA
Source: RNAcentral
AACGCAUAUGGCACCCUUUGGUUCUCGCCAAGGGGUAUGCCUGUUUGAGAAUCAUUUCGGAUACACUUGUUGCAUUCUUGAUCAAUAGGGUGUACUCUCAAUUGAUCCAGGAAUGCAAUCCACAUGGGCCUUCAUCAUUGAUCGCCUUGAAUUCAUGCAUGGGACUGCUCGUGAUAGAAAAGUGUCGCAUGAUGUGGUGCUCAAUGCACUCGUCGUGUGAUGUGCAAGGAUGGUCGUGGUGUGCAGUUGCAUGUCAUGUGCUCGUCCUUGUUGAUCGAUCAGUCCCCUUGGAAGCAUCCACUUCCAUCCACCCUCUCUACAAUGAUCUCAAAUCAGGCAAGACUACCCGCUGAACUUAA